This 721-nucleotide ribosomal RNA is filed under the name Ureibacillus massiliensis. RNAcentral describes it as "bacterial SSU rRNA". It matches the Rfam family "Bacterial small subunit ribosomal RNA", at positions 61 to 766 of the family's 1533-position model. Lineage: Bacteria; Bacillati; Bacillota; Bacilli; Caryophanales; Caryophanaceae. The record is from RNAcentral.
GUCGAGCGAACUUGCGGGAGCUUGCUCCCAAAAGUUAGCGGCGGACGGGUGAGUAACACGUGGGCAACCUGCCCUAUAGUUUGGGAUAACUCCGGGAAACCGGGGCUAAUACCGAAUAAUACAUUUUAUCUCCUGAUGAGAUGUUGAAAGAUGGUUUCGGCUAUCGCUAUAGGAUGGGCCCGCGGCGCAUUAGCUAGUAGGUGAGGUAACGGCUCACCUAGGCGACGAUGCGUAGCCGACCUGAGAGGGUGAUCGGCCACACUGGGACUGAGACACGGCCCAGACUCCUACGGGAGGCAGCAGUAGGGAAUCUUCCACAAUGGGCGAAAGCCUGAUGGAGCAACGCCGCGUGAGUGAAGAAGGUUUUCGGAUCGUAAAACUCUGUUGUAAGGGAAGAACAAGUGCAGUAGUAACUGGCUGCACCUUGACGGUACCUUAUUAGAAAGCCACGGCUAACUACGUGCCAGCAGCCGCGGUAAUACGUAGGUGGCAAGCGUUGUCCGGAAUUAUUGGGCGUAAAGCGCGCGCAGGCGGUUUCUUAAGUCUGAUGUGAAAGCCCCCGGCUUAACCGGGGAGGGUCAUUGGAAACUGGGAGACUUGAGUGCAGAAGAGGAAAGUGGAAUUCCAAGUGUAGCGGUGAAAUGCGUAGAGAUUUGGAGGAACACCAGUGGCGAAAGCGACUUUCUGGUCUGUAACUGACGCUGAGCGCGAAAGCGUGGGG